UUUUGCUCAGAUUAGGUGCUGCAUCCAAAUCCCUCCCUGUUUUACCCUCCCAAUUGGCUUCCCCAUUCCGUCGCCUCUUCCUUCGUUCUACCUUCGUUCUACCUUUGCCUCCCGAUUGGCUUCCCCAUUCCUUCGCCUCUUCCUCUGUCUCUCAACCUCUUCUUUUCUUUUUCUUUACAACCAGUCACUCUUUCGUUUUGCCUUCUCAACCAGUCGACCUUUUUCUUUUCUUUUUCUCUGUGUCACUCCUUCGAUUGCUCUCAAUUGAUGGGUUUCCAGGUUACUGCUACUGAAAGGUAAAGGUUUCUAACUCUCUUUUGCUCUCAAUUAUCCUGUAAUUGUUCUAACUCUCUUCUUCUCUCUGUACUGAGUUUUAAUGGCUGUCUUGUUAGUGUCUUCUUCAUUGCACUUUCAGGGCCUGAUCAUAUAAACUUCAUCGAAACACGGA
RNAcentral lists this long non-coding RNA (448 nucleotides) under Gossypium barbadense (sea-island cotton). RNAcentral describes it as "long non-coding RNA (GBAR_LNC018712)". The record is from RNAcentral. Lineage: Eukaryota; Viridiplantae; Streptophyta; Magnoliopsida; Malvales; Malvaceae.